Molecule: non-coding RNA, 105 nt
Organism: Octopus bimaculoides (California two-spot octopus)
Lineage: Eukaryota; Metazoa; Mollusca; Cephalopoda; Octopoda; Octopodidae
Source: Rfam
UCACAUUCUGCAGUACAUAUUCUAAAAAUUGGAACAACACAAGGAAGAUUAGCAUGGCCUCUGCACAAGGAUGACACACAAAUUCAUGAAAUGUUCUAUAUUUUU